GCGCCAGUAGCUCAGUGGAUAGAGCACCGCUCUCCUAAAGCGGGUGUCGGGGGUUCGAAUCCCCCCUGGCGCA
RNAcentral lists this transfer RNA (73 nucleotides) under Bifidobacteriaceae bacterium. RNAcentral's name for it is "tRNA-Arg". It matches the Rfam family "tRNA". Rfam says of the family: Transfer RNA (tRNA) molecules are approximately 80 nucleotides in length. The record is from RNAcentral. Lineage: Bacteria; Bacillati; Actinomycetota; Actinomycetes; Bifidobacteriales; Bifidobacteriaceae.